AACGAACGCUGGCGGCAUGCCUAACACAUGCAAGUCGAACGAAGGCUUCGGCCUUAGUGGCGCACGGGUGCGUAACGCGUGGGAAUCUGCCCUUUGGUUCGGAAUAACAGCUGGAAACGGCUGCUAAUACCGGAUGAUGACGAACGUCCAAAGAUUUAUGGACAGAGGAUGAGUCCGCGUUGGAUUAGGUAGUUGGUGGGGUAAAGGCGUACCAAGCCGACGAUCCAUAGCUGGUCUGAGAGGAUGAUCAGCCACACUGGGACUGAGACACGGCCCCGACUCCUACACACAUACUCAAUAAAUAAUAUUAUACCAUCAACGCAAGCCUGAUCCACCAAUGCCGCGUGAGUGAUGAAGGCCCUAGGGUUCUAAAUCUCUUUUACCCUAGACCAUAAUAACUAUCCCCCCACAAUAAGCCCCGGCUAACUCCCUG
RNAcentral lists this ribosomal RNA (433 nucleotides) under uncultured bacterium. RNAcentral's name for it is "partial 16S ribosomal RNA". It matches the Rfam family "Bacterial small subunit ribosomal RNA", at positions 29 to 507 of the family's 1533-position model. The record is from RNAcentral.